This is a non-coding RNA of Fusarium poae, 303 nucleotides long. The record is from Rfam. NCBI's taxonomy places the organism in Eukaryota, Fungi, Ascomycota, Sordariomycetes, Hypocreales, Nectriaceae.
ACCUCACCGCAAUAGUAAUUGAGCAUAGUACGAGAGGAACCGCUCAUUCAGAUAAUUGGUUUUUGCGGCUAUCUGACCGGGUCGUGUUAGGAAGCUACCAUCUGCUGGAUAAUGGCUGAACCCCUCCAAGUCAGAUUCAUACCAGAAUGCAGCAAUGCUACUGACAUAAAAAUAAAAGAUAAGAAAGAAUAAUAUUAAAUAAUUUACAGAAAAUCUACUUACGUAAGAUUCUUUUAAUCAGUUGUAUAUCAUUUCUUUUAAGUUCUGUUAAUCCUUAUUGUGUCUGGACUAGCCAUUAGGUUA